RNAcentral lists this ribosomal RNA (499 nucleotides) under uncultured bacterium. RNAcentral's name for it is "bacterial SSU rRNA". It matches the Rfam family "Bacterial small subunit ribosomal RNA", at positions 29 to 516 of the family's 1533-position model. The record is from RNAcentral.
AGUGAACGCUGGCGGCAGGCCUAAUACAUGCAAGUCGAACGGCAGCACAGUGGAGCUUGCUCCAUGGGUGGCGAGUGGCGGACGGGUGAGGAAUACAUGGGAAUCUGCCCAGUCGUGGGGGAUAACGUAGGGAAACUUACGCUAAUACCGCAUGCGCCCUUCGGGGGAAAGCCGGGGACCGUAAGGCCUGGCGCGAUUGGAUGAGCCCAUGUCGGAUUAGCUAGUUGGCGGGGUAACGGCCCACCAAGGCGACGAUCCGUAGCUGGUCUGAGAGGAUGAUCAGCCACACUGGAACUGAGACACGGUCCAGACUCCUACGGGAGGCAGCAGUAGGGAAUAUUGGACAAUGGGCGCAAGCCUGAUCCAGCCAUGCCGCGUGAGUGAAGAAGGCCCUCGGGUUGUAAAGCUCUUUUGUCCGGAAAGAAAAGCACUGGGUUAAUACCCCGGUGUCCUGACGGUACCGGAAGAAUAAGCACCGGCUAACUUCGUGCCAGCAGCC